Molecule: ribosomal RNA, 339 nt
Filed under: Triticum aestivum (bread wheat)
Lineage: Eukaryota; Viridiplantae; Streptophyta; Magnoliopsida; Poales; Poaceae
Description: partial small subunit ribosomal RNA
Source: RNAcentral
AUGACGCUCAUCAGUUGGAACUGUCGGGGGAUUGGGCAACCCCAGAGUGUUCGAGAGCUUGUGGAGCUUGUCCGUAUUCAUAAGCCCAAACUAGUGUUCUUGUCUGAGACUCGGAAAAGCGAUGAGUUUGUGAAUAGUCUGAGACGGCUAGGUCUCCGUCAUUGUAUCAUGCAAGCUGGCUCCGGGAAGGGUGCCGGCAUGGCUUUGUUCUAUGAUGAAAGUGUGGAAAUUAAUAAAAUCAUUGUUGGCCCGAGGUACAUAGAUGUGUUGAUCCGCUUGUGUCCUAAUGGUGUGCAAUGGAGGGGUACUUUCAUCUAUGGGGAACUGAGAGCUCAUUAG